This 484-nucleotide ribosomal RNA is filed under the name uncultured bacterium. RNAcentral's name for it is "partial 16S ribosomal RNA". It matches the Rfam family "Bacterial small subunit ribosomal RNA", at positions 30 to 507 of the family's 1533-position model. The record is from RNAcentral.
AUUGAACGCUGGCGGCAGGCCUAACACAUGCAAGUCGAGCGGAUGAAGGGAGCUUGCUCCUGGAUUCAGCGGCGGACGGGCGAGUAAUGCCUAGGAAUCUGCCUGGCAGCUGGGGCUAACGUCCGGAAACGGGCGCUAAUACCGCAUACGUCCUGAGGGAGAAAGUGGGGGAUCUUCGGACCUCACGCUAUCAGAUGAGCCUAGGUCGGAUUAGCUAGUUGGUGGGGUAAAGGCCUACCAAGGCGACGAUCCGUAACUGGUCUGAGAGGAUGAUCAGUCACACUGGAACUGAGACACGGUCCAGACUCCUACGGGAGGCAGCAGUGGGGAAUAUUGGACAAUGGGCGAAAGCCUGAUCCAGCCAUGCCGCGUGUGUGAAGAAGGUCUUCGGAUUGUAAAGCACUUUAAGUUGGGAGGAAGAGCAGUAAGUUAAUACCUUGCUGUUUUGACGUUACCAACAGAAUAAGCACCGGCUAACUUCGUG